Molecule: ribosomal RNA, 253 nt
Filed under: uncultured bacterium
Lineage: Bacteria
Description: partial 16S ribosomal RNA
Rfam family: Bacterial small subunit ribosomal RNA
Source: RNAcentral
UACAGAGGUCCCAAGCGUUGUUCGGAUUCACUGGGCGUAAAGGGUGCGUAGGUGGUCAGGUCAGUCUGAUGUGAAAUCUCCGAGCCUAACUCGGAAACUGCAUUGGAUACUACUUGGCUGGAGGGUUGGAGGGGGGACUGGAAUACUUGGUGUAGCAGUGAAAUGCGUAGAUAUCAAGUGGAACACCAGUGGCGAAGGCGAGUCCCUGGACAACUCCUGACACUGAGGCACGAAAGCUAGGGGAGCAAACAGG